UGCUGUUCUCACACAAAGGCGAGGGCUAGAAAUAGGCACGUCAGGCUAUGACACAGCCUUCCUCCUCCUUUGAAGGGGUAAUGACCUUAUUCAAGAUGCUUUUAUUAGGUCUUCUCUGCAAGUUACCGGAGAAAAGUCAUCGCAUUUCACACAACCAUGCUGCCACUUCCAGUCUGGGUGGUUCUUCCAAGUCUCGGUCAACCCCGUUUUACAUGGCUGAGGCACGUAGGUUGAGUACUUUUUUUUUUUUGCGGUACGCGGGCCUCUCACUGUUGUGGCCUCUCCCGUUGCAUCCGGACGCGCAGGCUCAGCGGCCAUGGCUCACGGGCCCAGCCGCUCCGCGGCAUGUGGGAUCUUCCCGGACCGGGGCACGAACCCAUGUCCCUUGCAUCGGCAGGCGGACUGUCAACCAUUGUGCCACACCAGGAAAGCCCAAGAUUUAGCCAUGUGGCCUGUUAGCUGCUUUGAUUCACAACCCACCUCCAUCAUGUUUCAAGUGAUGCUGUUUUUCUGAACCCAGAAGGCAAUGAAAAUGAUCCAAUGAGAGGAAAUGCAAUAAAAAAGAUCAAUCACCCAGCAAGAUACCAGCAGGCACCUAUUAGAAUGGCUAAAAUUUAAAAAGACUGACCAUCCCAAGUGUUGAGGAGGACGUGGAAGAAACGGAACUCACAUGUACUCCUGAUGGUAUAAUCAUUCUGGAAAGCAAUUUCGCAGUUUCUUAGAAAGUUACCAUACACGUACCAUAUGAUCCAGUCAUUUCACUUCUAGGUUUUUACCCAAGAAAAAAGGAAAUAUAUGCUCACAUGAAGACUUGUACACAAAUGUUCAGGCAGCUCUGUGGGUAAGAGCCCCAAACUGGAUACAACCCAAAUGUCCAUCAACAGAUGAGUGGAUAAACAAAUUUCAGUAUAUCCAUACAAUGGCAUACAUGCAGCAUUAAAAAGGAACGAAGUAUUGGUACACAAAACAACAUGGAUGAAUGUCAAGAUCAUUAUACUGAACAAAAGAAAUCAGACCCAAAAAAGUACAUACUGUCUGAUUCUAUUCAUAUAAAACUUUAGAAAAUGCAACUGAAUCUAUACUGACAGAAAGUAAAUCAGGGGUUGCUUAGGUGUGGGCCGGGCGGGGGUGUGGGGGCAGGAAAGGAAAGGAAGAAGAAAUGACAAAGGGGCACGAGGAGACUUGAAUAUAUUCACUUGAUUGCACUGAUGGUUUCAAGGGGGUGUACACACGUCAGAACUUAUCAAAUGAUACACUUUAAAUGUGCUCCACUUAUUGUAUGUCAAUUAUACCUCAAUACAGCUGUCUCAAAAAAGA
Mesoplodon densirostris (Blainville's beaked whale) is the source of this 1317-nucleotide long non-coding RNA. RefSeq lists it as uncharacterized. The transcript is spliced from 3 exons. Lineage: Eukaryota; Metazoa; Chordata; Mammalia; Artiodactyla; Ziphiidae. The record is from RefSeq and is a predicted model, not a curated record.